This 338-nucleotide long non-coding RNA is filed under the name Setaria italica (foxtail millet). RNAcentral's name for it is "long non-coding RNA (SITA_LNC005744)". Lineage: Eukaryota; Viridiplantae; Streptophyta; Magnoliopsida; Poales; Poaceae. The record is from RNAcentral.
CCAGCUGAAAAGCUGAAACGAUUGAUUUGUUGUGAGAGAAAAACACUGUUCGGUGGCUGAUAAGCUGGCUGAUAAAGCUGAAGCGAACAAGCUGAUGAUUGAUUGGUUAGAUGAUAUAAUGACGCGUGGUCAAGCACCGAGAGCGGGGAUCCAGAGGGACACCUUUUAGAGAUCCGGCCUAGGGUUAGUUCGUGCGCAGGGAUUCGAGAGACGUUUAGGGGAGUUAGCGUAUGAUUUUGCUAAGAGAGUUUUUAGACAGGUUCAUACCGCUUCGAAGUGUAAUACCUUACAUCCUGUGUGUUGUGUUGUGCUAGAGUUGUCUCUCUUAUUUGUCCAAG